Molecule: ribosomal RNA, 1324 nt
Filed under: metagenome
Description: bacterial LSU rRNA
Rfam family: Bacterial large subunit ribosomal RNA
Source: RNAcentral
AGUGGAUGGGGAGCAACCUAGUUGUGCGUGUGUAAAGGUAGUGCCAAGAAAAGCGAUGAUCAUGUUGAAAAUCAAUUCCCGGUACCCGAAACCGACACAGGUGGGCAAGUAGAGAAUACUAAGGGGCGCGAGGUAACUCUCUCCAAGGAACUCGGCAAAAUGACCCCGUAACUUAGGGAGAAGGGGUGCCACCGAGAGGUGGUCGCAGUGAAGAGGCCCAGGCGACUGUUUAGCAAAAACAUAGGUCUCUGCAAACUCGAAAGAGGAGGUAUAGGGGCUGACGCCUGCCCAGUGCCGGAAGGUUAAAGAAGUUGGUCAGUUUUAGGAUGAAGCUAGCGACUGAAGCCCCGGUGAACGGCGGCCGUAACUAUAACGGUCCUAAGGUAGCGAAAUUCCUUGUCGGGUAAGUUCCGACCCGCACGAAAGGCGUAACGAUCUGGGCGCUGUCUCGGAGAGAGGCUCGGCGAAAUAGGAUUGUCUGUGAAGAUACGGACUACCUGCAUUUGGACAGAAAGACCCUAUGAAGCUUUACUAUAGCUUGGAAUUGUGUUCGGGCUUCCUGUGCGCAGGAUAGGUGGGAGGCGUAGAAGGUAUUCUUGUGGGGAUACUGGAGCCAACGGUGAGAUACCACUCUCAGGAGGCUAGAAUUCUAACUUAAUUAAGGACAGUUUCAGGUGGGUAGUUUGACUGGGGCGGUCGCCUCCAAAAGGUAACGGUGGCGUACAAAGGUUCCCUCAGACUGGUUGGAAAUCAGUCGAAGAGUGCAAAGGCAGAAGGGAGCUUGACUGCGAGAAGUACAGUUCGAGCAGGGUGGAAACACGGUCUUAGUGAUCCGACGGUGCUGUGUGGAAGGGCCGUCGCUCAACGGAUAAAAGUUACUCUAAGGAUAACAGGCUGAUCUCCCCCAAGAGUUCACGUCGACGGGGAGGCUUGGCACCUCGAUGUCGGCUCAUCGCAACCUGGGGCGGAGGUACGUCCCAAGGGUUGGGCUGUUCGCCCAUUAAAGCGGUACGUGAGCUGGGUUCAGAACGUCGUGAGACAGUUCGGUCCAUAUCCGAUGUAGGCGUGAGAAUAUUGAGAGGAGCCUUCCUUAGUACGAGAGGACCGGGAAGGACGCACCGCUGGUGUACCUGUUAUGAUGCCAAUUGUAAACGCAGGGUAGCCAAGUGCGGAGAGGAUAACCGCUGAAAGCAUCUAAGUGGGAAGCCCACCUCAAGAUGAGUAUUCUGGUGUAAGGUCACGGGAAGACGACCCGUAAAUAGGCACGAGGUGGAAGUGCAGAGAUGUAUGAAGCCGAAGUGUACUAAUAGACCGUCGGCUUGAC